UGAUUGAGAAGUGGAAACCAGUGGUACUGUUAUGCUGGUUUGGCAUUUUGCUGGAAUCGACUUGCCCACUUACAGGAUGAAAAUAUCCUUCUCCCCAAGGCUCACUGAAAGAAUUCUCUACCACAAUGACGUGGGUAAACCAAGCUGUGUACCCUAGCUUGGUGAGUAAGAGUGCACAACCCACCUAACCCAAGAGCCAUGAGACAGGUCGGAGUGAGAGGAAGGGGGGGGCUUAUUAUGGUAAUUAUAUCUUGCAGGAAACAUGUCACAGAGUGAUUCAAAACACAUUUUAGUCAUAACAAUAAUCUUAUUGUUCAAGAACUGAAUCAUCUCCUCUUUUCAACGGAAAGGAAACGGUAAAUCAUUAACCAAGAGAAAUAGAGGUUCUCUUAUACUUAUGUGGGCCUGAAAUGUCCACAGGGCCAGUAGCAGGGUCUAUACAGUAGGAAUCACAAACAAG
Molecule: long non-coding RNA, 460 nt
Organism: Ictalurus punctatus (channel catfish)
Lineage: Eukaryota; Metazoa; Chordata; Actinopteri; Siluriformes; Ictaluridae
Source: Ensembl